This 232-nucleotide ribosomal RNA is filed under the name uncultured bacterium. RNAcentral's name for it is "partial 16S ribosomal RNA". It matches the Rfam family "Bacterial small subunit ribosomal RNA", at positions 15 to 236 of the family's 1533-position model. The record is from RNAcentral.
GAUCCUGGCUCAGGAUGAACGCUGGCGGCGUGCCUCAUACAUGCAAGUCGAACGCGCAGCGAGAGGUGCUUGCACCUUUCAAGCGAGAGGCGAACGGGUGAGUAACACGUGGAUAACCUGCCUCAAGGCUGGGGAUAACAUUUGGAAACAGAUGCUAAUACCGAAUAAAACUUAGUAUCGCAUGAUAUCAAGUUAAAAGGCGCUACGGCGUCACCUAGAGAUGGAUCCGCGG